This 463-nucleotide ribosomal RNA is filed under the name uncultured bacterium. Its description in RNAcentral is "partial 16S ribosomal RNA". It matches the Rfam family "Bacterial small subunit ribosomal RNA", at positions 28 to 507 of the family's 1533-position model. The record is from RNAcentral.
GAUGAACGCUGACAGAAUGCUUAACACAUGCAAGUCUUUGGCGAAGCUGUGCUUGCACAGCCUAGCCAAGGCGGACGGGUGAGUAACGCGUAAGGAACUUGCCCUGCAGUCAGGGAUAACAGACGGAAACGACUGAUAAGACCUGGUAAAGUCAGGCGGACUCAUGUCCAGCCUGAUGAAAAGAGAUGCUGCAGGAGAGCCUUGCGUCCUAUUAGCUUGUUGGUGGGGUAACGGCCCACCAAGGCGAUGAUAGGUAGCCGGCCUGAGAGGGUGGACGGCCACAAGGGGACUGAGAUACGGCCCUUACUCCUACGGGAGGCAGCAGUGGGGAAUAUUGGACAAUGGGGGCAACCCUGAUCCAGCAAUUCUGUGUGCACGAUGAAGGUUUUCAGAUUGUAAAGUGCUUUCAGCAGGGAAGAAAAAAAUGACGGUACCUGCAGAAGAAGCGACGGCUAAAUACGUG